UUUCGUUCGCUCGCUCGUCCCCACUUCCUUGGCGCGCUGGCCUUCAGACGGAGGGGCUGCGGGAGGGUUGGGCUGCAUGGUCUGCUCGGGGACCUCCCCCGGGGCUCUCCCCGGGGAAGCAACAGGGAUGUGUACGCAGAGAGUGGGGUUUGGAGAUCCGGGGGGGCGGGGCGCGGGAGUUGAUCGCCGCUGGCGCCGGCGAGCGGCCGGGCGAGCAGCCGCGCCCUGGGGGCGUCGACCCUCCCCCCCACGGACCCGGGGGCUGAAUGGGGUAGGCGGCUACCCCACGCCUUUCCGAGCUGCUUGAAGCUGUUCUAGUAAUGAUCCUUCCGCAGGUUCACCUACGGAAA
RNAcentral lists this unclassified non-coding RNA (350 nucleotides) under uncultured fungus. RNAcentral describes it as "sequence contains ITS1". Lineage: Eukaryota; Fungi. The record is from RNAcentral.